Molecule: long non-coding RNA, 200 nt
Filed under: Medicago truncatula (barrel medic)
Lineage: Eukaryota; Viridiplantae; Streptophyta; Magnoliopsida; Fabales; Fabaceae
Description: long non-coding RNA (MTRU_LNC000459)
Source: RNAcentral
CCCAUGUCACUCAUCAAUAUCUUAUGUCCCUCUCUUCCUUUAUCUCUCCUCUUUCUCACUUCUAGACAAUCAUGCCAUAAUUUGACUUUUGCUGUCUGACGAGACAGAACUUGCCAAUCCUGCCAUUUUCUUUUUCUUUCUUUCUUUUUAUUUUUUAUUUUUUUGAAUAUUGCCAGAUGAAGUGGCUAUAAUGAAUUUUC